CGAAAGUUACGCUAAUACCGCAUACGAUCUAAGGAUGAAAGCAGGGGAUCGCAAGACCUUGUGCUCCUGGAGCGGCCGAUAUCUGAUUAGCUAGUUGGUGGGGUAAAGGCCCACCAAGGCAACGAUCAGUAGCUGGUCUGAGAGGACGACCAGCCACACUGGAACUGAGACACGGUCCAGACUCCUACGGGAGGCAGCAGUGGGGAAUUUUGGACAAUGGGGGCAACCCUGAUCCAGCAAUGCCGCGUGAGUGAAGAAGGCCUUCGGGUUGUAAAGCUCUUUUGUCAGGGAAGAAAAGGUUGCGGCUAAUAUCCGCAACUGCUGACGGUACCUGAAGAAUAAGCACCGGCUAACUACGUGCCAGCAGCCGCGGUAAUACGUAGGGUGCAAGCGUUAAUCGGAAUUACUGGGCGUAAAGCGUGCGCAGGCGGUUUCGUAAGUCUGUCGUGAAAUCCCCGGGCUUAACCUGGGAAUGGCGAUGGAGACUGCGAGGCUAGAGUUUGGCAGAGGGGGGUAGAAUUCCACGUGUAGCAGUGAAAUGCGUAGAGAUGUGGAGGAACACCGAUGGCGAAGGCAGCCCCCUGGGUCAAAACUGACGCUCAUGCACGAAAGCGUGGGGAGCAAACAGGAUUAGAUACCCUGGUAGUCCACGCCCUAAACGAUGUCUACUAGUUGUUGGGUCUUAAUUGACUUAGUAACGCAGCUAACGCGUGAAGUAGACCGCCUGGGGAGUACGGUCGCAAGAUUAAAACUCAAAGGAAUUGACGGGGACCC
RNAcentral lists this ribosomal RNA (774 nucleotides) under mercury-resistant bacterium mCFU 530. RNAcentral's name for it is "bacterial SSU rRNA". It matches the Rfam family "Bacterial small subunit ribosomal RNA", at positions 152 to 922 of the family's 1533-position model. The record is from RNAcentral.